AUCUUCGGCAAUGGGGGAAACCCUGACCGAGCGACGCCGCGUGCGGGAUGAAGGCCUUCGGGUUGUAAACCGCUGUCGUAGAGGAGGAAAUGCAGGGGGGUUCUCCCCUUUGUUUGACCUAUUCUAGGAGGAAGUACGGGCUAAGUUCGUGCCAGCAGCCGCGGUAAGACGAACCGUACAAACGUUACUCGGAAUUACUGGGCUUAAAGGGUGCGUAGGCUGCGCGGAAAGUCGGGUGUGAAAGCCCUCAGCUCAACUGGGGAAUUGCACUCGAAACUACCGUGCUCGAGGGAGACAGAGGUAAGCGGAACUCAAGGUGGAGCGGUGAAAUGCGUUGAUAUCUUGAGGAACACCGGUGGCGAAGGCGGCUUACUGGGUCUUUCCUGACGCUGAGGCACGAAAGCUAAGGUAGCAAACGGGAUUAGAUACCCCGGUAGUCUUAGCUGUAAACGAUGAGCACUUGUUUGAAGGGUCCUCCAUAGCCUUUCGGACGUAGCGAAAGUGUUAAGUGCUCCGCCUGGGGAGUAUGGUCGCAAGGCUGAAACUCAAAGAAA
Molecule: ribosomal RNA, 554 nt
Filed under: uncultured bacterium
Lineage: Bacteria
Description: bacterial SSU rRNA
Rfam family: Bacterial small subunit ribosomal RNA
Source: RNAcentral